Molecule: ribosomal RNA, 1017 nt
Filed under: uncultured organism
Description: bacterial SSU rRNA
Rfam family: Bacterial small subunit ribosomal RNA
Source: RNAcentral
GAGGAAUAUUGGUCAAUGGACGAGAGUCUGAACCAGCCAAGUAGCGUGAAGGAUGAAGGUUCUAUGGAUUGUAAACUUCUUUUAUACGGGAAUAAACGAAUCCACGUGUGGAUUUUUGCAUGUACCGUAUGAAUAAGGAUCGGCUAACUCCGUGCCAGCAGCCGCGGUAAUACGGAGGAUCCGAGCGUUAUCCGGAUUUAUUGGGUUUAAAGGGAGCGUAGGCGGACGCUUAAGUCAGUUGUGAAAGUUUGCGGCUCAACCGUAAAAUUGCAGUUGAUACUGGGUGUCUUGAGUACAGUAGAGGCAGGCGGAAUUCGUGGUGUAGCGGUGAAAUGCUUAGAUAUCACGAAGAACUCCGAUUGCGAAGGCAGCUUGCUGGACUGUAACUGACGCUGAUGCUCGAAAGUGUGGGUAUCAAACAGGAUUAGAUACCCUGGUAGUCCACACAGUAAACGAUGAAUACUCGCUGUUUGCGAUAUACAGUAAGCGGCCAAGCGAAAGCGUUAAGUAUUCCACCUGGGGAGUACGCCGGCAACGGUGAAACUCAAAGGAAUUGACGGGGGCCCGCACAAGCGGAGGAACAUGUGGUUUAAUUCGAUGAUACGCGAGGAACCUUACCCGGGCUUGAAUUGCAACUGAAUGAUGUGGAGACAUGUCAGCCGCAAGGCAGUUGUGAAGGUGCUGCAUGGUUGUCGUCAGCUCGUGCCGUGAGGUGUCGGCUUAAGUGCCAUAACGAGCGCAACCCUUAUCGAUAGUUACCAUCAGGUUAUGCUGGGGACUCUGUCGAGACUGCCGUCGUAAGAUGUGAGGAAGGUGGGGAUGACGUCAAAUCAGCACGGCCCUUACGUCCGGGGCUACACACGUGUUACAAUGGGGGGUACAGAAGGCAGCUACACGGCGACGUGAUGCUAAUCCCGAAAGCCUCUCUCAGUUCGGAUUGGAGUCUGCAACCCGACUCCAUGAAGCUGGAUUCGCUAGUAAUCGCGCAUCAGCCACGGCGCGGUGAAUACGUUCCCG